This 652-nucleotide ribosomal RNA is filed under the name Gronovia scandens. Its description in RNAcentral is "eukaryotic LSU rRNA". The stretch from base 219 to 374 matches the Rfam family "5.8S ribosomal RNA". The record is from RNAcentral. Lineage: Eukaryota; Viridiplantae; Streptophyta; Magnoliopsida; Cornales; Loasaceae.
UCGUAACAAGGUUUCCGUAGGUGAACCUGCGGAAGGAUCAUUGUCGAUACCUGCAACGCGCAGAGCGACCCGCGAACACGUCCCCGAUGACGCCGAGGCCUCCAGGGGCCAAGGCACCAACGAACGAACCCCGGCGCGCACUGCGCGCCAAGGAAUACGAACGAAGGGUGCCCCCUGGGUUUUCCUGGGGCGGCCGCUUCACGCUAGAACACAACAACGACUCUCGGCAACGGAUAUCUCGGUUCUCGCAUCGAUGAAGAACGUAGCGAAAUGCGAUACUUGGUGUGAAUUGCAGAAUCCCGUGAACCAUCGAGUCUUUGAACGCAAGUUGCGCCCGAAGCCACCAGGCCGAGGGCACGCCUGCCUGGGCGUCUCGCAACGUGUCGCCCCCGCCUCCCCCCUAAUGCGGACGGAGGAAGGGAGCGGAUAGUGGCCCCCCGUGCGCUAGCGCAAGCUGCUGCGGCCGGCCCAAAAGCGGAACAGCCCGAGGCGGAUUGUCGCGGCAAGUGGUGGUCGAGGUAAAUGUCGUCGCGUCCUGCCGCGCGAGCACCCGUCCCGGGAAAAAUCCAGCUGACCCUAAGCGUGCCCCCGCAAGGGCGCGCCUCGAUCGCGACCCCAGGUCAGGCGGGACUACCCGCUGAGUUUAAGCAUA